This 258-nucleotide ribosomal RNA is filed under the name uncultured bacterium. Its description in RNAcentral is "partial 16S ribosomal RNA". It matches the Rfam family "Bacterial small subunit ribosomal RNA", at positions 793 to 1055 of the family's 1533-position model. The record is from RNAcentral.
GUCCACGCCCUAAACGUUGAUUACUCGUUGUUGGCGAUAUACUGUCAGCGACUAAGCUAAAGCGUUAAGUAAUCCACCUGGGAAGUACGACCGCAAGGUUGAAACUCAAAGGAAUUGACGGGGGCCCGCACAAGCGGAGGAGCAUGUGGUUUAAUUCGAUGAUACGCGAGGAACCUUACCUGGGCUUGAAAGUUAGUGACCGCCUCUGAAAGGAGGCUUCUCUUCGGAGCACAAAACUAGGUGCUGCAUGGCUGUCGU